Molecule: ribosomal RNA, 223 nt
Filed under: uncultured bacterium
Lineage: Bacteria
Description: partial 16S ribosomal RNA
Rfam family: Bacterial small subunit ribosomal RNA
Source: RNAcentral
AAUCAACGCUGGCGGCGUGCCUAACACAUGCAAGUCGAACGCGAAAGUUCCGCAAGGAAUUAGUAGAGUGGCAAACGGGUGAGUAACACGUGGGUGACCUGCCUUCGAGUGGGGGAUAACGUCCCGAAAGGGACGCUAAUACCGCAUAACAUCCCGCCUUUUAAGAGGUGGAAAUCAAAGCUGGGGAUCGCAAGACCUGGCGCUUGAAGAGGGGCCCGCGUCC